RNAcentral lists this long non-coding RNA (703 nucleotides) under Capsicum annuum. RNAcentral describes it as "long non-coding RNA (CANN_LNC012090)". Lineage: Eukaryota; Viridiplantae; Streptophyta; Magnoliopsida; Solanales; Solanaceae. The record is from RNAcentral.
ACCUCUUUGAAUGUUUCACAUUUUUAAAAUGUAGGACAACCAUUUAAGUUUGGGGAGGGGGUGAGAUUGGUACGAGUGAUGAUGUAGGUUAAACACCUAGCUUGGAGGUGCAAUAUUAUGUAAAUGUCAAAAAGCCUAAGUUUGGGGGAGAUCUUAAAUUGAAUAAUGUGUGGUGAAUGUCUAAGUGUCUCUAAAAUGGGAAAGAAAGAAAAGAAGAAAUAGAAAAUAGAAAAUUUCACCUUUGAAUAUGAAAGAAAAGAGUAUGUGAGAGAGAGACCGAAAGAAAAAGGGUGAAUGAGAAAUAAAGGUGAGAACUACCGGAUGUUUGAAAAGGUGAAAAGGGUGGAAAUUGUGAAAGAAAUAGGCCUAAGAAAGUAAUGGCAUGGGAGUGUUUAGGGAGGUUUGCAGUCGCUUGUUCCCACAAAAAAAUUCCCUUCCUUAACCUAAGCGCUCAUCAAUGCCCGCAAGUCCUAGGAGAUUUUGAGCCUUGUAGAUCUACAUUAGUGGCGAAUUUUCUACUUGAUUGUACGUAAACCUCUUUGUGAGAGUUAGUGUUUAUUUUUUUAUCUUUGUGUCCCUUGUUACUUUGCUUUACAGUGUGUGAAUAGGAUCAAGUCUUGUUUGUGAGUGACACUUACACCGGAAUGAUGUCCUACACUCAAUUAGAGGAACUGAGGUAUAAGUUAUGAAGUGAACCUGAGGU